CGGGGUGUAGCUCAGUUUGGCUAGAGCGCUUGAUUUGGGAUCAAGAGGUCGCAAGUUCAAGUCUUGUCACUCCGACCA
RNAcentral lists this transfer RNA (78 nucleotides) under Clostridiaceae bacterium. RNAcentral's name for it is "tRNA-Pro". It matches the Rfam family "tRNA". Rfam says of the family: Transfer RNA (tRNA) molecules are approximately 80 nucleotides in length. Their secondary structure includes four short double-helical elements and three loops (D, anti-codon, and T loops). The record is from RNAcentral. Lineage: Bacteria; Bacillati; Bacillota; Clostridia; Eubacteriales; Clostridiaceae.